GACGAACGCUGGCGGCGUGCUUAACACAUGCAAGUCGAACGGAAAGGCCCUGCUUUUGUGGGGUGCUCGAGUGGCGAACGGGUGAGUAACACGUGAGUAACCUGCCCUUGACUUUGGGAUAACUUCAGGAAACUGGGGCUAAUACCGGAUAGGAGCUCCUGCUGCAUGGUGGGGGUUGGAAAGUUUCGGCGGUUGGGGUUGGACUCGCGGCUUAUCAGCUUGUUGGUGGGGUAGUGGCUUACCAAGGCUUUGACGGGUAGCCGGCCUGAGAGGGUGACCGGCCACAUUGGGCCAGGGGUACGGGCCGGAGUCCAACGGGGGGCAGCAGUGGAGAAUAUUGCACAAUGGGCGGAAGCCGGAUGCAGCAACGCCGCGUGCGGGAUGACGGCCUUCGGGUAGUAAACCGCUUGCGCCUGUGACGAAGCGGGAGGGAGGGUAAUGGGUAAAGAAGCACCGGCUAACUACGU
RNAcentral lists this ribosomal RNA (467 nucleotides) under uncultured bacterium. RNAcentral describes it as "partial 16S ribosomal RNA". It matches the Rfam family "Bacterial small subunit ribosomal RNA", at positions 28 to 506 of the family's 1533-position model. The record is from RNAcentral.